UCAGAACGAACGCUGGCGGCAGGCCUAACACAUGCAAGUCGAGCGAGGACUUCGGUCCUAGCGGCGGACGGGUGAGUAACGCGUGGGAACGUGCCCUUCACUACGGAAUAGUCCCGGGAAACUGGGUUUAAUACCGUAUACGCCCUUCGGGGGAAAGAAUUUCGGUGAAGGAUCGGCCCGCGUCUGAUUAGGUAGUUGGUGGGGUAACGGCCUACCAAGCCUACGAUCAGUAGCUGGUUUGAGAGGAUGAUCAGCCACACUGGGACUGAGACACGGCCCAGACUCCUACGGGAGGCAGCAGUGGGGAAUCUUAGACAAUGGGGGCAACCCUGAUCUAGCCAUGCCGCGUGAGUGACGAAGGCCCUAGGGUCGUAAAGCUCUUUCACCAGGGAAGAUAAUGACGGUACCUGGAGAAGAAACCCCGGCUAACUCCGUGCCAGCAGCCGCGGUAAUACGGAGGGGGUUAGCGUUGUUCGGAAUUACUGGGCGUAAAGCGCGCGUAGGCGGACUGUUAAGUCAGGGGUGAAAUCCCGGGGCUCAACCCCGGAACUGCCCUUGAUACUGGCAGUCUCGAGUUCGAGAGAGGUGAGUGGAACUCCGAGUGUAGAGGUGAAAUUCGUAGAUAUUCGGAAGAACACCAGUGGCGAAGGCGGCUCACUGGCUCGAUACUGACGCUGAGGUGCGAAAGUGUGGGGAGCAAACAGGAUUAGAUACCCUGGUAGUCCACACCGUAAACGAUGAAUGCCAGACGUCGGGCAGC
RNAcentral lists this ribosomal RNA (760 nucleotides) under uncultured organism. Its description in RNAcentral is "bacterial SSU rRNA". It matches the Rfam family "Bacterial small subunit ribosomal RNA", at positions 24 to 831 of the family's 1533-position model. The record is from RNAcentral.